Molecule: ribosomal RNA, 254 nt
Filed under: uncultured bacterium
Lineage: Bacteria
Description: partial 16S ribosomal RNA
Rfam family: Bacterial small subunit ribosomal RNA
Source: RNAcentral
UACGGGGGGAGCAAGCGUUGUUCGGAUUUACUGGGCGUAAAGGGCGCGUAGGCGGCCACCGCAAGUCGACUGUGAAAUCUCCGGGCUUAACCCGGAAAGGUCAGCCGAUACUGCGGGGCUAGAGUGCAGAAGGGGCAACUGGAAUUCUCGGUGUAGCGGUGAAAUGCGCAGAUAUCAGGAGGAACACCGGUGGCGAAGGCGGGUCUCUGGGUAACAACUGACGCUGAGGAGCGAAAGCGUGGGGAGCGAACAGG